This 343-nucleotide ribosomal RNA is filed under the name Molva macrophthalma. RNAcentral describes it as "partial 16S ribosomal RNA". It matches the Rfam family "Bacterial large subunit ribosomal RNA", at positions 788 to 1213 of the family's 2925-position model. The record is from RNAcentral. Lineage: Eukaryota; Metazoa; Chordata; Actinopteri; Gadiformes; Lotidae.
GUGGCAAAAGAGUGGGAAGAGCUUUGAGUAGAGGUGAUAAACCUACCGAGCACAGUGAUAGCUGGUUGCCUGGGAAAUGAAUAGGAGUUCAGCCCUUUAAGUUCUUCCCCCCCCCGUCACCUAUGCCUACGCUAGAAUUGAUUAAGGAAACUAAAGGAGUUAAUCAAAAGGGGUACAGCCCUUUUGAUAAAAGAAACAACUUUAACAGGUGACCCAAGAUCAUAUUAACCAAGGAUUUCAAAUUAAGUGGGCCUAAAAGCAGCCAUCUUGCCAGAAAGCGUUAAAGCUCAAAUUAGACAUCAUCCUCAUAUACUGAUACCACAUCUCCCUCCCUGCCCCCUAC